Drosophila melanogaster (fruit fly) is the source of this 882-nucleotide non-coding RNA. Lineage: Eukaryota; Metazoa; Arthropoda; Insecta; Diptera; Drosophilidae. The record is from Ensembl.
UCGUGUGGUUUCUGCUGCCUUUCGCCUCUUGAGCACCUGAACUGAGCUGAACUGAGCUGCACAGGUAAAUCGAGGCUGGAUGUGGAUGUGGAUGUCUUGAACCUGUCGGCGCAUUUUCUACGCCUGUAUGACAUAUCGCGAUAGAUUUACAUUGAAUUUCAAUAACCGCUGCAUGUCGCUUGCAUUUGCAAACACAGCCAGAUGAAGAUGAAAUGCAGGCAUUACGUUCGAUUCGGAAUGAGCUUUCACUUUUGCAGUUUUCCCACUGAAUGUAUGUUGCAGUGCCUCGUUGAAAUGACUGCACACCCAAGAACCACAACCAUCCUCAACAUUUUUUAGUAUCCAGUCAGUCUGCACCUUUGACAGCACCCACCCAGCAUUAUUAAUAUAACUCCAAAAGACCCCACCCGACGGUCUUGACAAAGCGACGACAUCGACAAAGUGAUCGGCAGGCCGAAACCGAAAUCAGCUAAGCGGCAACCUACAAACUUUCACCUUUGAGCAAAUAGUUUCCAUCAUUUCGCAAUGUAUUUUGAGUGCACGUCAAACAAAACGGCAACAAAUGUCAUAUUUAAGCACAAGCCCAGGCCGAAAAAAAAACCCAGGGCCCUACAACCCGAGACCAUCAACCUGUUGCCGCGCUGCCUCGGGGGUACUAAUUACCCCAGAGGCCCGAAACAAAUUUUAAGCCACAUAUUUACAUGGUACUCCAAAAGGGGGGUUGGGCCGAGAGUAGACGACCAUCCUAGCAACCUCUAAAAGCUGGCAUGCCCCCAUCGCAUUGUUGCAGAUAAUUUGUACCUGGAAACACGAUGGCAAAAUUAAGCAUCCAUUUGCAGAAGCAACGAACAGGGAAAUGCACUAUGGUUAAGGAUAUUUAAG